RNAcentral lists this ribosomal RNA (557 nucleotides) under uncultured bacterium. Its description in RNAcentral is "bacterial SSU rRNA". It matches the Rfam family "Bacterial small subunit ribosomal RNA", at positions 102 to 694 of the family's 1533-position model. The record is from RNAcentral.
ACGGGUGAGGAACGCGUGAGAAUCUGCCUUUAGGUCGGGGACAACAUUUGGAAACGAAUGCUAAUACCGGAUGAGCUGAGAAGUAAAAGAUUUAUCGCCUAAAGAGGAGCUCGCGUCUGAUUAGCUAGAUGGUGGGGUAAAGGCUUACCAUGGCGACGAUCAGUAGCUGGUCUGAGAGGAUGAGCAGCCACACUGGGACUGAGACACGGCCCAGACUCCUACGGGAGGCAGCAGUGGGGAAUUUUCCGCAAUGGGCGAAAGCCUGACGGAGCAAUACCGCGUGAGGGAGGAAGGCUUUUGGGUUGUAAACCUCAAAACUUAGGGAAGAAGAAAGUGACGGUACCUAAUAUAAGCAUCGGCUAACUCCGCGCCAGCAGCCGCGGUAAUACGGAGGAUGCAAGCGUUAUCCGGAAUCAUUGGGCGUAAAGAGUCCGUAGGUGGCGAAUCAAGUCUGCUGUCAAAGACCGAAGCUCAACUUCGGGUAGGCGGUGGAAACUGAGAAGCUAGAGUAUAGUAGGGGUAGAGGGAAUUCCUAGUGUAGCGGUGAAAUGCGUAGA